GCAAAGUCCUUCAGAUCAUUUCUUGCGUGCCAUAAAUACAGAGUUCGACAGGAUCAUCGCGAUGUGCAAAAGUUGGCAGGAUGACCACGGAGACUUGUCAGCAGUGAACAUGGAUACUGCUGUUGCUAUACGUACCCUUGAAGCAACCUAUAAAUCAUCGGCAGAUGCUGUUUCUCUUGAGACUAUGAUAGUGAAGCUCACUGAGAAGGAAGGUCCAUCCCUCAAAAGCAAGGGAAUGGUUGGC
This 244-nucleotide unclassified non-coding RNA is filed under the name Hevea brasiliensis (rubber tree). Lineage: Eukaryota; Viridiplantae; Streptophyta; Magnoliopsida; Malpighiales; Euphorbiaceae. The record is from RNAcentral.